Long non-coding RNA from Coccinella septempunctata (seven-spotted ladybird), 137 nucleotides. RefSeq lists it as uncharacterized. The transcript is spliced from 2 exons. NCBI's taxonomy places the organism in Eukaryota, Metazoa, Arthropoda, Insecta, Coleoptera, Coccinellidae. The record is from RefSeq and is a predicted model, not a curated record.
UAAUGAUUAGACUUGGAAAACCAAAAACUUAGCUAGCCCUGAUGAUGAUAAUAAAAGUUAUCGAAACUGUCGGCAACUAAAUAAAUUGGUUUUUGUCAUCUUCAGACCUUAAACCCAUUAAAAACUCAACUUAUAUU